AUUGAACGCUGGCGGCAUGCCUUACACAUGCAAGUCGAACGGCAGCACGGGAGCAAUCCUGGUGGCGAGUGGCGAACGGGUGAGUAAUAUAUCGGAACGUGCCCGGUCGUGGGGAUAACGUAGCGAAAGCUACGCUAAUACCGCAUACGAUCUACGGAUGAAAGCGGGGGAUCGCAAGACCUCGCGCGAUUGGAGCGGCCGAUAUCAGAUUAGGUAGUUGGUGAGGUAAAGGCUCACCAAGCCGACGAUCUGUAGCUGGUCUGAGAGGACGACCAGCCACACUGGGACUGAGACACGGACCAGACUCCUACGGGAGGCAGCAGUGAGGAAUAUUGGUCAAUGGGCGAAAGCCUGAUCCAGCAAUGCCGCGUGAGUGAUGAAGGCC
RNAcentral lists this ribosomal RNA (385 nucleotides) under uncultured bacterium. Its description in RNAcentral is "bacterial SSU rRNA". It matches the Rfam family "Bacterial small subunit ribosomal RNA", at positions 30 to 416 of the family's 1533-position model. The record is from RNAcentral.